Molecule: long non-coding RNA, 530 nt
Filed under: Parus major (Great Tit)
Lineage: Eukaryota; Metazoa; Chordata; Aves; Passeriformes; Paridae
Description: lncRNA (ENSPMJG00000001824.1)
Source: RNAcentral
CCUCCAGCUCCCUCUUAUCCUAGAUGACAUAUUUGACAAACUUUUCAGCAAUUAUGUCCACAAACUAGAACAUAAGUCCUCCUCAAUGGCCUCUUUCAAUUCACCUCUUUUUUAAACAUGUCACAAGUGUUUCACCAAACCCUUCCAUCAUCAUGUGAAUAAAAUUUUCAAAUUGAUCUCAGCUCCAACAUACCUGAAUUGGAGAUUUUAAUGACUUUAACUCUUCCUGUUUUCUCUUCUUUCAGGACACCAGCCUGCAAAAUCAUUUCCUGAGACGAUCUGCUUGAACUACCAAGAAAACCCUUAAAUAUUCAGAAUAAAGGAAGAAUGUGACAGCAUAAGCCAAGAUAUUCUGAUGAUCUAUUGGAAAAUCCAAGAGGGGAUCAUACUGCUGUCAUCCAAACAACCCUACAGGGAUCAGGAAGAAGCUUAAAAUUCCUAGGAACUCUGAGUUUACAGGAGUAGAGAAACACAACCAGAAUUUAGGUAUUCAUAUGUGCAUGUUUUCACUAGGUUGAAAUUAAGAUUGC